UACGGAGGGUGCAAGCGUUAAUCGGAAUUACUGGGCGUAAAGGGUGCGUAGGUGGUUUGGUAAGUUAUCUGUGAAAUCCCCGGGCUCAACCUGGGCAGGUCAGAUAAGACUGCUGAACUCGAGUAUAGGAGAGGGUAGUGGAAUUUCCGGUGUAGCGGUGAAAUGCGUAGAGAUCGGAAGGAACACCAGUGGCGAAGGCGGCUACCUGGCCUGAUACUGACACUGAGGCACGAAAGCGUGGGGAGCAAACAGGAUUAGAUACCCUGGUAGUCCACGCUGUAAACGAUGUCAACUAGCUGUUGGCCUUAUGAAUGAGGUUAGUGGCGCAGCAAACGCGAUAAGUUGACCGCCUGGGGAGUACGGUCGCAAGAUUAAA
RNAcentral lists this ribosomal RNA (376 nucleotides) under uncultured bacterium. RNAcentral's name for it is "bacterial SSU rRNA". It matches the Rfam family "Bacterial small subunit ribosomal RNA", at positions 524 to 898 of the family's 1533-position model. The record is from RNAcentral.